AGCUUUUCGCCAUGAUGGCUCUUGCCUUCGGUGAUCCAUGGUGUCACUACGCUCCAUGAACAACGGAAAUUAUACAAUAAAGACACAUUUUAAAUAUAUUGUGGUGUAAGCAUAGAACAGAAUAAGGAAAUAUUGAAGGUGUAUACUUUUUUUUCUAAAAUAAUCUGUGAAACUAAAUGACCACUGGAUCACCCAUUUACCAUCCACCUACGACAACCCUACGGGCCAUUGCAUACAUGAUAAGUAAAAGAGAAAUUUUAUGCGACUCGUGAUG
RNAcentral lists this long non-coding RNA (274 nucleotides) under Oryza brachyantha (malo sina). RNAcentral's name for it is "long non-coding RNA (OBRA_LNC001835)". The record is from RNAcentral. Lineage: Eukaryota; Viridiplantae; Streptophyta; Magnoliopsida; Poales; Poaceae.